This 494-nucleotide ribosomal RNA is filed under the name uncultured bacterium. Its description in RNAcentral is "partial 16S ribosomal RNA". It matches the Rfam family "Bacterial small subunit ribosomal RNA", at positions 30 to 523 of the family's 1533-position model. The record is from RNAcentral.
AUUGAACGCUGGCGGUAUGCCUUACACAUGCAAGUCGAACGGUAGAGGGGCAACCCUUGCGAGUGUCGAACGGGUGAGUAAUAUAUCGGAACGUGCCCAGUCGUGGGGGAUAACGUAGCGAAAGCUACGCUACUACUGCAUACGACCUGAGGGUGAAAGCGGGGGAUCGCAAGACCUCGCGCGAUUGGAGCGGCCGAUGGCAGAUUAGGGAGUUGGUGGGGUAAAGGCCUACCAAGCCUCCGAUCUGUAGCUGUUCUGAGAGGAGGACCAGCCACAUUGGGACUGAGACACGGCCCAGACUCCUACGGGAGGCAGCAGUGGGGAAUUUUGGACAAUGGGCGGAAGCCUGAUGCAGCCAUACCGCGUGCGUGAAGAAGGCCUUCGGGUUGUAAACCGCUUUUGUCAGGGAAGAAAUCUUCUGGGUUAAGAGCUCGAGAGGAUGACGGUACCUGAAGAAUAAGCACCGGCUAACUACGUGCCAGCCGCCGCCGUAA